RNAcentral lists this unclassified non-coding RNA (2221 nucleotides) under Hevea brasiliensis (rubber tree). The record is from RNAcentral. Lineage: Eukaryota; Viridiplantae; Streptophyta; Magnoliopsida; Malpighiales; Euphorbiaceae.
GUCUCUCUCAAAACUGAUAAACUGAUGCUAGUCUAUCCUCGCUUAAAACCACAUAGCUUUUAAAUCUCAUUAAUGGAGACUCUGAACCCCGGUCAGCCUUCAACCCCAUCUCUCCUAAAAACCCAUUUUCUCAAAUCCCCUCCUUUCGUUAACUCUACCAUCAAAUUAAAGCCCCAAUUUCACACCCUUUACAACAGGAGAACUCUUUCUUUAACCAUUACUUGCAAACUGAAAAGCUCUCAAGAAGUAAAGAACAAAGACAAGAAUGUAUCCAGGAAGAUUCUGUUAUCAGAUUCAACGCCACCAGUUUUAGAAGAAAGUGGUUCUGGCAAUGGGGUGGUUCCAGAGAAGGCAGCAGGAGGUGGAGGUGGUGGUGGACCAUUGGUUUUCGUGAAGAGGUUGCCUAGGAGGGUUUUGUCUGUUUUGUCUAAUUUGCCUUUGGCUAUUGGAGAAAUGUUUGCUAUUGCUGGGCUUAUGGCUCUAGGUACUGUCAUUGAUCAAGGGGAGGCUCCAGAUUUCUAUUUCCAAAAAUACCCUGAAGAGAAUCCUGUUUUAGGAUUCUUCACUUGGAGGUGGAUUCUCGCCCUUGGAUUUGAUCACAUGUUUUCAUCUCCUGUUUUCCUGGGAAUGUUGGCUCUCUUGGGAACAUCUCUUAUGGCCUGCACUUACACAACACAGAUCCCCCUGGUUAAGGUUGCAAGAAGGUGGAAUUUUUUGCACUCAGCUGAGGCAAUCCGUAAGCAGGAAUUUUCAGACAAUUUGCCCAGGGCGUCCAUUCAAGAUUUGGGUGUUAUUCUGAUGGGAGCUGGAUACGAGGUGUUCUUGAAAGGACCAUCUCUAUAUGCCUUCAAGGGUUUGGCAAGCCGGUUCGCCCCUAUUGGAGUACAUUUAGCAAUGCUGCUGAUAAUGGCAGGGGGAACUCUUAGUGCUGCUGGAAGCUUCAGAGGCUCAGUCACUGUUCCACAGGGGUUGAAUUUUGUUGUAGGAGAUGUGUUAGGUCCAACUGGGUUUCUUUCUACUCCCACUGAAGCUUUCAAUACGGAGGUUCAUGUCAACAGAUUCUACAUGGACUACUAUGAUAGUGGAGAGGUGUCACAAUUUCACACUGAUCUUUCGCUAUUAGAUUUUGAUGGGAAGGAGGUGUUGAGGAAAACAAUCAGCGUAAACAAUCCUUUGCGCUAUGGUGGGAUUACUAUAUACCAAACAGACUGGAGCUUUUCUGCCUUACAGAUAAGUAAAAAUGAUGAAGGACCUUUCAAUUUGGCUAUGGCACCUUUGAAGGUCAAUGGUGACAAGAAACUUUUUGGAACUUUUCUACCAGUUGGGGACCUUAAUUCUCCUAACGUCAAGGGAAUAUCAAUGCUUGCACGUGAUCUACAAUCCAUUGUCCUAUAUGAUCAAGAAGGGAAGUUUGUGGGAGUCCGACGACCUAACUCUAAGCUUCCAAUUGACAUAGAUGGAACAAGAAUUGUUAUUGAAGAUGCAAUUGGAAGUACUGGUCUUCAAUUAAAGACUGAUCCAGGGGUACCAGUUGUUUAUGCUGGAUUUGGUGCCCUAAUGCUCACAACUUGCAUCAGUUACUUGUCUCACUCACAGGUCGAAUUUCUAAUUAUAUUGAGCUUGGAUUACUAUGUACAUUCUCUAAGUAAUAGUGCAGCUGAUAUUUGUUGAAGCUUUAGAUUGUGUCAUUGGGUUUGUUUUUUUCAUGGAAAAAGGUUUUUUGUGAAGAAAAGAAACAGAAGCAUAUUUGAGAUGGUGAAAACCUUAUUGUUUCAUUAAUUAAAGCUUGAAUUUAUACAAGAAAACCUAACAGAAAUAGCAUAAAAUCUGCUGCACUUUCAGCAGUAAAUCCUAUUCUAAAGCAAAGCAUUAUUCCUUAAAAAUAGCAACAAGAAGACAACAUAAAUGGUCACAUUUGGAUUAUGUUUUGACUGUUUCAACAACCACAUAAGCAUCUUCAAUAGCUUUGCAGUUAGCCAGCUGCUAAGUUAAUAAUUUCAAUAAUCCUCCUUAGCUUAGGAGCUGCAAACUCUAAUUGUCAUCAAAAUAGCUCCUCCUCCUCCUGAUGUUGAUCCACAAUAACUUUGGCUUCUCUUGGUUGUUGCUGUGCAUUGCAUCUGAUCUCCAUGUGUCCUAGCUGGUCACAUUUUUUACAUUGUACAUCUAGUCUCCACCAACAUCUUUCUUGUGGAUGAUUGUCCGUUCAACAAUAAAGAUGCAA